This 1351-nucleotide ribosomal RNA is filed under the name uncultured organism. RNAcentral's name for it is "bacterial SSU rRNA". It matches the Rfam family "Bacterial small subunit ribosomal RNA", at positions 110 to 1430 of the family's 1533-position model. The record is from RNAcentral.
GUAACGCGUGGGUAAUCUGCCUCCGAAUCGGGGAUAACAUUGCGAAAGCGAUGCUAAUACCGGAUAAAAUCUGGUUGGCUUCGGUGAACCGGAUCAAAGGUGGUCUCUUUAUAAAAGCUACCGUUUGGAGAUGAGCUCGCGUACCAUUAGCUAGUUGGUGAGGUAAAGGCUCACCAAGGCGACGAUGGUUAGCUGGUCUGAGAGGAUGAUCAGCCACACCGGAACUGGAACACGGUCCGGACUCCUACGGGAGGCAGCAGUGAGGAAUUUUGCGCCAUGGGGGAAACCCUGACGCAGCAACGCCGCGUGAGUGAUGAAGGCUUUCGGGUCGUACAGCUCUGUCAGGUGGGAAGAACCCACCAAGUGUUAAGAUCACUUGGUGCUGACGGUACCACCGUAAGGAAGCACCGGCGGACUCGGGCGCACAAGCCGCGGUAAUACGGGGGGCACGAGCGUUAGUCGGAUCAAGGAGCGUAAAGGGCGCGCAGACGAUUUGGCAAGUCAGAUGCGAAUCCCGGGGGCUUAACCCCGGAAGUGCAUAUGAAACUAUGAGACUUGAGUAUGGGAGAAGGAAGCGGAAUUCCUGCUGUAACGGUGAAAUGCGUAGAUAUCAGGAGGAACACCGGUGGCGAAGACGGCUUCCUGGACCAAUACUGACGCUGAGGCGCGAAGGCGUGGGGAGCGAACAGGAUUAGAUACCCUGGUAGUCCACGCAGUAAACGUUGAUCACUAGGUGUAGCGGGUAUUGACCCCUGCUGUGCCGGAGUCAUACGCAUUAAGUGAUCCGCCUGGGGAGUACGAUCGCAAGAUUAAAACUCAAAGGAAGUGACGGGGGCCCGCACAAGCGGUGGAGCAUGUGGACUAAUUCGACGCAACGCGAAGAACCUUACCUGGACUUGACAUCUCGGGAAUUCCGUUGAAAGACGGGAGUGCCUUUGACGAGGAAUCCGAUGACAGGUGCUGCAUGACUGUCGUCAGCUCGUGUCGUGAGAUGUUGGAUUAAGUCCCGCAACGAGCGCAACCCCUAUCUUCAGUUACCAUCAGCUGAUGCUGGGGACUUAGGAGAUACUGCCCCGGUUAACGGGGAGGAAGGUGGGGAUGACGUCAAGUCCUCAUGGCCUUUAUGUCCAGGGUUACACACGUGCUACAAUGGUAUGUACAAAGGGAAGCGAUCCCGCGAGGAGGAGCUAAUCCCAAAUAGCAUAUCAAAGUUCGGAUCGGAGUCUGCAACUCGACUUCCGUGAAGUUGGAAUCGCUAGUAAUCGCGGAUCAGCAUGCUGCGGUGAAUACGUUCCCGGGCCUUGUACACACCGCCCGUCACACCAUGAGAGUUGGCUGUACCAGAAGUCGU